Long non-coding RNA from Zingiber officinale, 612 nucleotides. RefSeq lists it as uncharacterized. The record is from RefSeq and is a predicted model, not a curated record. The transcript has 2 exons. Lineage: Eukaryota; Viridiplantae; Streptophyta; Magnoliopsida; Zingiberales; Zingiberaceae.
AGAUCUUUUGACCAAGGAUUACAACUCAUCAUAAAUUUGUUUUUUUCCUCAUCAAAUGAUUAUGGUCUGGUUUCAACAACAAUUACUGUGGAUGAAUUGUUAGCUGGUGCAAAGACGAAGUUAAGCUUCGAGCUACCUGAUCAGAAGUAUUGUACGGCUAGUUUCAUGUAACUGCAAUUGGGAGAUGUACUUGUUCUUGCCUCAGACCAAUUUUGUCAUGAGUUCAAUUUUUAUGAUGCCUCUGGUUGCAGCUUGAUGUCCAGUACCUUCAUCACCAUGUUGCUUUUAAUUCUGGCAUUGGCUUGACACCAACCCCACUGCUGGAGUUCUCCGCAGCAAUUGGCAGCAGGGGACUUUGUCUAGGAGCUGAGAUUGGAUUUAAUAGUGCAUCUACUUCUUUCACCAAAUACAAUGCCGGUGUAGGCUUAAGUCUGAUUUUUCUGCUGCUCUUAUAAUGUAAGUGCACUCUCUACUAUUUGUGGUUGAGUUCAAUCCCAAUUUUGAUGAAAAAUCAGUUGCGAGAAACUUCAUAUCACAGAAAUUAUUAUCAUUCUCCAAAUGCUUUAUCCCUGUAAAAUGUACUGUUAGCAUUAUGAAUUUGAUACUUGGUAA